AGCGAACGCUGGCGGCAGGCCUAACACAUGCAAGUCGAACGAACCUUUCGGGGUUAGUGGCGGACGGGUGAGUAACACGUGGGAACGUGCCUUUAGGUUCGGAAUAACUCAGGGAAACUUGUGCUAAUACCGAAUGUGCCCUUCGGGGGAAAGAUUUAUCGCCUUUAGAGCGGCCCGCGUCUGAUUAGCUAGUUGGUGAGGUAAAGGCUCACCAAGGCGACGAUCAGUAGCUGGUCUGAGAGGAUGAUCAGCCACAUUGGGACUGAGACACGGCCCAAACUCCUACGGGAGGCAGCAGUGGGGAAUCUUGCGCAAUGGGCGAAAGCCUGACGCAGCCAUGCCGCGUGAAUGAUGAAGGUCUUAGGAUUGUAAAAUUCUUUCACCGGGGACGAUAAUGACGGUACCCGGAGAAGAAGCCCCGGCUAACUUCGUG
Molecule: ribosomal RNA, 433 nt
Filed under: uncultured bacterium
Lineage: Bacteria
Description: partial 16S ribosomal RNA
Rfam family: Bacterial small subunit ribosomal RNA
Source: RNAcentral